This 240-nucleotide unclassified non-coding RNA is filed under the name soil metagenome. RNAcentral's name for it is "partial contains 5.8S ribosomal RNA, internal transcribed spacer 2, and large subunit ribosomal RNA". The record is from RNAcentral.
AACGCACGAGACCUGCGGACCUGCGGAGGGAUCAUUAAUGAGAAGCUGCCCCUCGUGGGUAGACCUCCCACCCUCUGUGAACUUACCUUUGUUGCUUUGGCAGGCCCGUCCUCUGGACCGCCGGCUUCGGCUGGCCCGUGCCUGCCAGAGGAUUCCAGACCCUGUCUGUCAGUGUUGUCUGAGUCUAUAUGAAAUCGUUAAAACUUUCAACAAUGGAUCUCUAGAUCGGAAGAGCACACG